Molecule: small RNA, 105 nt
Filed under: Klebsiella electrica
Lineage: Bacteria; Pseudomonadati; Pseudomonadota; Gammaproteobacteria; Enterobacterales; Enterobacteriaceae
Description: Raoultella electrica StyR-44
Rfam family: Salmonella enterica Typhi npcRNA 44
Source: RNAcentral
CUUUAAAAAUCUGGAUCAAGCUGAAAAUUGAAACGACACACAUGUUAUGUGUGUUCGAGUCUCUCAAAUUUUCGCAACACGAGCCGUUUUACGAAACAGUUUCGG